GACGAACGCUGGCGGCGUGCUUAACACAUGCAAGUCGAACGGAAAGGCCCUGCUUUUGUGGGGUGCUCGAGUGGCGAACGGGUGAGUAACACGUGUGUAACCUGCCCUUGACUGUGGGAUAACUUCAGGAAACUGGGGCUAUUAUCGGAUAGGAGCUCCUGCAGCACGGUGGGGGUUGGAAAGUUUCGGCGGUUGGGGAUGGACUCGCGGCUUAUCAGCUUGUUGGUGGGGUAGUGGCUUACCAAGGCUUUGACGGGUAGCCGGCCUGAGAGGGUGACCGGCCACAUUGGGACUGAGAUACGGCCCAGACUCCUACGGGAGGCAGCAGUGGGGAAUAUUGCACAAUGGGCGGAAGCCUGAUGCAGCAACGCCGCGUGCGGGGUGACGGCCUUCGGGUUGUAAACCGCUUUCGCCUGUGACGAAGCGUGAGUGACGGUAAUGGGUAAAGAAGCACCGGCUAACUACGUG
RNAcentral lists this ribosomal RNA (468 nucleotides) under uncultured bacterium. Its description in RNAcentral is "partial 16S ribosomal RNA". It matches the Rfam family "Bacterial small subunit ribosomal RNA", at positions 28 to 507 of the family's 1533-position model. The record is from RNAcentral.